This 404-nucleotide ribosomal RNA is filed under the name Actinomycetes bacterium. RNAcentral's name for it is "Actinobacteria bacterium partial 16S ribosomal RNA". It matches the Rfam family "Bacterial small subunit ribosomal RNA", at positions 355 to 776 of the family's 1533-position model. The record is from RNAcentral. Lineage: Bacteria; Bacillati; Actinomycetota; Actinomycetes.
UGGGGAAUAUUGGACAAUGGGCGCAAGCCUGAUCCAGCCAUGCCGCGUGAGUGAUGAAGGCCCUAGGGUUGUAAAGCUCUUUCACCGGUGAAGAUAAUGACGGUAACCGGAGAAGAAGCCCCGGCUAACUUCGUGCCAGCAGCCGCGGUAAUACGAAGGGGGCUAGCGUUGUUCGGAUUUACUGGGCGUAAAGCGCACGUAGGCGGACUAUUAAGUCAGGGGUGAAAUCCCGGGGCUCAACCCCGGAACUGCCUUUGAUACUGGUAGUCUUGAGUUCGAGAGAGGUGAGUGGAAUUCCGAGUUUAGAGGUGAAAUUCGUAGAUAUUCGGAGGAACACCAGUGGCGAAGGCGGCUCACUGGCUCGAUACUGACGCUGAGGUGCGAAAGCGUGGGGAGCAAACAGG